Ribosomal RNA from Spermophilus dauricus (Daurian ground squirrel), 120 nucleotides. The record is from Ensembl. Lineage: Eukaryota; Metazoa; Chordata; Mammalia; Rodentia; Sciuridae.
GUCUAUGGCCAUACCACCCCGAACAUACCCGAUCUUGUCUGAUUUCAGAAGCUAAGCAGGGUCGGGCUGCAUUCAGUACUUGGAUGGGAGACUGGCCCAGAAUAUUGAGUGCUGUAAGCU